UACGGGGGGGGCAAGCGUUGUUCGGAAUUACUGGGCGUAAAGGGCUCGUAGGCGGCCAACUAAGUCGGAUGUGAAAUCCCCAGGCUUAACCUGGGAACUGCAUCCGAUACUGGAUGGCUUGAAUCCGGGAGAGGGAUGCAGAAUUCCAGGUGUAGCGGUGAAAUGCGUAGAGAUCGGGAAGAACACCAGUGGCGAAGGCGGCGCUCUGGGCUGCAACUGACGCUGAGAUGCGAAAGUGUGGGGAGCAAACGGG
This 253-nucleotide ribosomal RNA is filed under the name uncultured bacterium. RNAcentral describes it as "partial 16S ribosomal RNA". It matches the Rfam family "Bacterial small subunit ribosomal RNA", at positions 524 to 776 of the family's 1533-position model. The record is from RNAcentral.